Gasterosteus aculeatus (three-spined stickleback) is the source of this 54-nucleotide regulatory RNA element. It matches the Rfam family "UnaL2 LINE 3' element". From Rfam's summary of the family: The eel long interspersed element (LINE) UnaL2 and its partner short interspersed element (SINE) share a conserved 3' tail containing a stem-loop that is critical for their retrotransposition. Presumably, the first step of retrotransposition is the recognition of their 3' tails by UnaL2-encoded reverse transcriptase. The record is from Rfam. NCBI's taxonomy places the organism in Eukaryota, Metazoa, Chordata, Actinopteri, Perciformes, Gasterosteidae.
GUUGUUGUUGUUUGUAAGUCGCUUUGGAUAAAAGCGUCAGCUAAAUGACAUGUA